AUCUAUCCAAACAAUGUUGCGUUAGGGACUGAAGCGGCAUCCUUUUUUUGCAAAAAAAAGAUACAGCGGAAAGCCCGACCUGAA
Molecule: small RNA, 84 nt
Filed under: Flavobacterium aquatile LMG 4008 = ATCC 11947
Lineage: Bacteria; Pseudomonadati; Bacteroidota; Flavobacteriia; Flavobacteriales; Flavobacteriaceae
Description: Flavobacterium aquatile LMG 4008 Flavo-1 RNA
Rfam family: Flavo-1 RNA
Source: Rfam by way of RNAcentral